RNAcentral lists this long non-coding RNA (1747 nucleotides) under Chinchilla lanigera (long-tailed chinchilla). RNAcentral's name for it is "lncRNA (ENSCLAG00000027875.1)". Lineage: Eukaryota; Metazoa; Chordata; Mammalia; Rodentia; Chinchillidae. The record is from RNAcentral.
UGUUCCCUUGUUUCUUUCCAGGAUCUACAGUCUUGGGAUCCAGCCAGUCAUGAUUUUCUCCACCUAGCUUUAAGCCUAUGGGCUUUCAAGGUGUCCUCCCUGCACCAGAAGCCCCUCUGUGCAUUCACCCCAGACUGUGGUUACCAUCGAAGCCAAGGUGGAUACACAGGUGUGGAGCCAAGGUGGGAUCCCUUAUGGCAAUUGAGUCCAAAUGAGCUGGCCUUUUAUCUGAAGAUUUUCCAGUUGAAGGGGCUUACAUAGUGAGCAGCUCACAAGCAGAGGAAGGCAUCUUUUCUGUGUUGCUGACAACACAGAAAUCUUGCCCAAGGGAAUGAACGGUCUAUCAGGCUGAUGUGUGGCUGGAUGCUUGUUUGUGCUUUCCAUGACAUCUGAUCGUGGUUGAUGUCCAGGCCCAGAGAAGGACUGACAGACCUUCUCGGGAAAACCUUCAGUAAGAGGAGCCCACCGCCUCCUGAAGAAACCUAUCGUGAGGGAUCAGAACGGCCCUCCCUGGCCCUUGCUCAGCAACCUGCUGCCCAGCUCUCUACCAUCUGAGCAAUGGAUGCUUGUCUCUGCAUCCACAGGAUAGCCCAGGAUGGCUCCAACCCAAGCUUCCUGUUGAACUUCUCUCCUCCUUACAUUUGCUGUCUCACCUCCCUCACCCAAAACAAUUAUCCCUUCUCUGUCCUAUCUUAAAGAGCACCCAGCAGUGACGAAGCCCUUGACCACCCAACGCCAACCCCCAGCCCCUGCCCUCAGUUCUCACCUGCUGAGUUUACAUAUCAACUCCUAGUUUAAGGAGAUAAGCUACUAGUUCAGGGAGACAAGCUGUACUAGUUCAGAGAGACAAACCCCUAGUUGAGGUAGAAAAGCUCCUGGUAUAGGGAGACUGCUCUUAUUUAUGGAGACCAGCUCCUAGUUAAGGAAGAUCAGCUCUUAGUUUAGGGAGACCAACUCUUGUUUCAGGGAGACAAGAUCCUAGUACAGACGAACAUCUAGUUCAGGGUGACAAGCUCAUACUUCAGAGGAACAAACUACUAGUUUGGGGACACAAACUCUCAGCUAAAGGAGACCAGCCCCUGGUUUAGAGAAACCAGCUCUAACUUUGCAGGGGCAUGUUCCUAGUUCAUGGAGGAAAGCUUCUAGUUCAGGGAGAUAAGUUUCUAGUUCAUAAGACCAGCUCCUAGUUUAAGGAGACCAGCUCUUACUUUAGGGAGACAAGCUCCUAGUUUAGGGAGAUGUUAUGAUUUGUGUCUGGAUGUCCCCCCAAAGCCUCAUGCAGUCAUAGGGUGGGCUAGAGUUUAUGAUUGAUCCAUGGUCCAGUGUUGGAAUUAUGAAUACGAGUGCUACACCUACCCUGAGGCAGAUAGUUUGCAUACAGUGUGAGGGAGGGAAAGAGGCUGCCCACCUGCUCUCCAUUUUGCUCUUGUUGCUUUGCUAUCUUCCGCUGCCAUGAACAGUUGCCCUGUGCCAUGUGCCACUCUGCCUUGGAGCCAGCUGAAUAUGGACUGAAACCUCCACAAACUGUGAGCUAAAUAAACCUUUCCUUCCUUAAUUUUGUUUGUUAGGUAUUUUGUCUCAGCAAUGAGAGAAAAGUAACCAAGACAGGAGAUAAGCACCUAGGUUAGAGAGAUCAGGUCCUAGCUUAGAGAGACAAGCUUCUUGUUUAGGGAGACUAGUUCCAAGUUCAAGGAGACCAGCUCCUAGUUCAGGGAAACCUACUCUAGUAUUAGAAGACAAGCUCCUG